AAAAAAGGCGGUAGGCAUGAUUCUUAGGCAAAUCCGGGAAUCUUUAUGCCGAGCACCGAGACGAGUCCUAUGAGGACGAAGUGACUGACACCACGCUUCCAGGAAAAGCCACUAAGCUUCAGCUGUAGAAAAACCGUACCGCAAACCGACACAGGUAGGCAGGGUGAGAAUCCCAAGGCGCUUGAGAGAACUCGGGUGAAGGAACUAGGCAAAAUGGCACCGUAACUUCGGGAGAAGGUGCGCCUCUUGGUGUGGUCACGUGCGUGACUGAGCAUCGAGGGGUCGCAGUAACCUGGCCGCUGCGACUGUUUAUCAAAAACACAGCACUCUGCAAACACGAAAGUGGACGUAUAGGGUGUGACGCCUGCCCGGUGCUGGAAGGUUAAUUGAUGGGGUCAGCCGCAAGGCGAAGCUCUUGAUCGAAGCCCCAGUAAACGGCGGCCGUAACAAUAACGGUCCUAAGGUAGCGAAAUUCCUUGUCGGGUAAGUUCCGACCUGCACGAAUGGCGUAACGACAGCGGCGCUGUCUCCACCCGAGACUCAGUGAAAUUGAAAUCGCUGUGAAGAUGCAGCGUUCCCGCGGCAAGACGGAAAGACCCCGUGAACCUUUACUAUAGCUUUACACUGAACGUUGAGUUCUUCUGUGUAGGAUAGGUGGGAGGCUAUGAAACCAGGACGCUAGUUCUGGUGGAGCCAUCCUUGAAAUACCACCCUGAAGUGCUUGACGUUCUAACCUAGGUCCGUAAUCCGGAUCGGGGACCGUGUAUGGUGGGUAGUUUGACUGGGGCGGUCUCCUCCCAAAGAGUAACGGAGGAGCACGAAGGUACGCUCAGCGCGGUCGGACAUCGCGCACUGUGUGCAAAGGCAUAAGCGUGCUUGACUGCGAGAUCGACGGAUCAAGCAGGUACGAAAGUAGGUCUUAGUGAUCCGGUGGUUCUGUAUGGAAGGGCCAUCGCUCAACGGAUAAAAGGUACUCCGGGGAUAACAGGCUGAUACCGCCCAAGAGUUCAUAUCGACGGCGGUGUUUGGCACCUCGAUGUCGGCUCAUCACAUCCUGGGGCUGUAGCCGGUCCCAAGGGUAUGGCUGUUCGCCAUUUAAAGUGGUACGCGAGCUGGGUUCAGAACGUCGUGAGACAGUUCGGUCCCUAUCUGUCGUGGGCGUUGGAGAUUUGAGGGGGGCUGCUCCUAGUACGAGAGGACCGGAGUGGACGUUCCGCUGGUGUUCGGGUUGUCAUGCCCAUGGCAUUGCCCGGUAGCUACGAACGGAAGUGAUAACCGCUGAAAGCAUCUAAGCGGGAAGCACGCCCCAAGAUGAGAUCUCCCGAGAGCUUGACUCUCCUAAAGGCACCAUCAAGACUAGGUGGUUGAUAGGCACGGUGUGGAAGUGCAGCAAUGCAUUGAGCUUACGUGUACUAAUGAGCCGUGAGGCUUGACC
Molecule: ribosomal RNA, 1435 nt
Filed under: metagenome
Description: bacterial LSU rRNA
Rfam family: Bacterial large subunit ribosomal RNA
Source: RNAcentral